This 877-nucleotide ribosomal RNA is filed under the name Curtobacterium sp. RNAcentral describes it as "bacterial SSU rRNA". It matches the Rfam family "Bacterial small subunit ribosomal RNA", at positions 547 to 1422 of the family's 1533-position model. The record is from RNAcentral. Lineage: Bacteria; Bacillati; Actinomycetota; Actinomycetes; Micrococcales; Microbacteriaceae.
GGAAUUAUUGGGCGUAAAGAGCUCGUAGGCGGUUUGUCGCGUCUGCUGUGAAAUCCCGAGGCUCAACCUCGGGCUUGCAGUGGGUACGGGCAGACUAGAGUGCGGUAGGGGAGAUUGGAAUUCCUGGUGUAGCGGUGGAAUGCGCAGAUAUCAGGAGGAACACCGAUGGCGAAGGCAGAUCUCUGGGCCGUAACUGACGCUGAGGAGCGAAAGCAUGGGGAGCGAACAGGAUUAGAUACCCUGGUAGUCCAUGCCGUAAACGUUGGGCGCUAGAUGUAGGGACCUUUCCACGGUUUCUGUGUCGUAGCUAACGCAUUAAGCGCCCCGCCUGGGGAGUACGGCCGCAAGGCUAAAACUCAAAGGAAUUGACGGGGGCCCGCACAAGCGGCGGAGCAUGCGGAUUAAUUCGAUGCAACGCGAAGAACCUUACCAAGGCUUGACAUACACCGGAAACGGCCAGAGAUGGUCGCCCCCUUGUGGUCGGUGUACAGGUGGUGCAUGGUUGUCGUCAGCUCGUGUCGUGAGAUGUUGGGUUAAGUCCCGCAACGAGCGCAACCCUCGUUCUAUGUUGCCAGCGGGUCAUGCCGGGGACUCAUAGGAGACUGCCGGGGUCAACUCGGAGGAAGGUGGGGAUGACGUCAAAUCAUCAUGCCCCUUAUGUCUUGGGCUUCACGCAUGCUACAAUGGCCGGUACAAAGGGCUGCGAUACCGUAAGGUGGAGCGAAUCCCAAAAAGCCGGUCUCAGUUCGGAUUGAGGUCUGCAACUCGACCUCAUGAAGUCGGAGUCGCUAGUAAUCGCAGAUCAGCAACGCUGCGGUGAAUACGUUCCCGGGCCUUGUACACACCGCCCGUCAAGUCAUGAAAGUCGGUAACACCC